RNAcentral lists this transfer RNA (116 nucleotides) under Thermochaetoides thermophila DSM 1495. RNAcentral describes it as "Chaetomium thermophilum var. thermophilum DSM 1495 tRNA". It matches the Rfam family "tRNA". From Rfam's summary of the family: Transfer RNA (tRNA) molecules are approximately 80 nucleotides in length. Their secondary structure includes four short double-helical elements and three loops (D, anti-codon, and T loops). The record is from Rfam by way of RNAcentral. Lineage: Eukaryota; Fungi; Ascomycota; Sordariomycetes; Sordariales; Chaetomiaceae.
GCCCGGCUAGCUCAAUCGGUAGAGCGUGAGACUCUUAAGGAUACUUCCCUGCGGAAUUCUAUCCCAGGAGAUUCUCCGUCAUCUCAAGGUUGUGGGUUCGACCCCCACGUCGGGCU